AAAUUGAAGAGUUUGAUCAUGGCUCAGAUUGAACGCUGGCGGCAGGCCUAACACAUGCAAGUCGAACGGUAACAGGAAGCAGCUUGCUGCUUUGCUGACGAGUGGCGGACGGGUGAGUAAUGUCUGGGAAACUGCCUGAUGGAGGGGGAUAACUACUGGAAACGGUGGCUAAUACCGCAUAACGUCGCAAGACCAAAGAGGGGGACCUUCGGGCCUCUUGCCAUCAGAUGUGCCCAGAUGGGAUUAGCUUGUUGGUGAGGUAACGGCUCACCAAGGCGACGAUCCCUAGCUGGUCUGAGAGGAUGACCAGCCACACUGGAACUGAGACACGGUCCAGACUCCUACGGGAGGCAGCAGUGGGGAAUAUUGCACAAUGGGCGCAAGCCUGAUGCAGCCAUGCCGCGUGUAUGAAGAAGGCCUUCGGGUUGUAAAGUACUUUCAGCGGGGAGGAAGGUGUUGCGGUUAAUAACCGCAGCAAUUGACGUUACCCGCAGAAGAAGCACCGGCUAACUCCGUGCCAGCAGCCGCGGUAAUACGGAGGGUGCAAGCGUUAAUCGGAAUUACUGGGCGUAAAGCGCACGCAGGCGGUCUGUCAAGUCGGAUGUGAAAUCCCCGGGCUCAACCUGGGAACUGCAUUCGAAACUGGCAGGCUUGAGUCUUGUAGAGGGGGGUAGAAUUCCAGGUGUAGCGGUGAAAUGCGUAGAGAUCUGGAGGAAUACCGGUGGCGAAGGCGGCCCCCUGGACAAAGACUGACGCUCAGGUGCGAAAGCGUGGGGAGCAAACAGGAUUAGAUACCCUGGUAGUCCACGCCGUAAACGAUGUCUACUUGGAGGUUGUGCCCUUGAGGCGUGGCUUCCGGAGCUAACGCGUUAAGUAGACCGCCCUGGGAGUACGGCCGCAAGGUUAAAACUCAAAUGAAUUGACGGGGGCCCGCACAAGCGGUGGAGCAUGUGGUUUAAUUCGAUGCAACGCGAAGAACCUUACCUGGUCUUGACAUCCACAGAAGAAUCCAGAGAUGGAUUUGUGCCUUCGGGAACUGUGAGACAGGUGCUGCAUGGCUGUCGUCAGCUCGUGUUGUGAAAUGUUGGGUUAAGUCCCGCAACGAGCGCAACCCUUAUCCUUUGUUGCCAGCGAUUAGGUCGGGAACUCAAAGGAGACUGCCAGUGAUAAACUGGAGGAAGGUGGGGAUGACGUCAAGUCAUCAUGGCCCUUACGACCAGGGCUACACACGUGCUACAAUGGCGCAUACAAAGAGAAGCGACCUCGCGAGAGCAAGCGGACCUCAUAAAGUGCGUCGUAGUCCGGAUUGGAGUCUGCAACUCGACUCCAUGAAGUCGGAAUCGCUAGUAAUCGUGGAUCAGAAUGCCACGGUGAAUACGUUCCCGGGCCUUGUACACACCGCCCGUCACACCAUGGGAGUGGGUUGCAAAAGAAGUAGGUAGCUUAACCUUCGGGAGGGCGCUUACCACUUUGUGAUUCAUGACUGGGGUGAAGUCGUAACAAGGUAACCGUAGGGGAACCUGCGGUUGGAUCACCUCCUUACCUUAAAGAAGC
This 1554-nucleotide ribosomal RNA is filed under the name Salmonella enterica subsp. enterica serovar Typhimurium. RNAcentral describes it as "bacterial SSU rRNA". It matches the Rfam family "Bacterial small subunit ribosomal RNA". The record is from RNAcentral. Lineage: Bacteria; Pseudomonadati; Pseudomonadota; Gammaproteobacteria; Enterobacterales; Enterobacteriaceae.